UUCUUCACACGAUAUAGAGUGAGUGAGGAGAGAAAGAAAGAUCAUCUUCAAAUGAAGCUAUUGUGGUUCAUUUUGCUUUUGUUUUUCAUUAUUCUUCUCUUCCAAGCAUAUAAUUCUUCGACUGGCAGGUCAGAAAAUUUUACAUCUCCACCUCCAUCUCCGGAAGGGAGCAACUCUCCUAUUGGUCGUUAUUCUGUUCGGAAUCCAUAGUGUAUGAUGGUUCACUACAUAUAAUAAUAACUAAAAAUGUUAUGUGAGAAAAAAAUAAUAGAGAACAACUAAAAACAACAUUUUGUUCUCAAUUUUUUUUUUUUUGUAACUUUGAUUUUUGAAAAUAAUGUCAAACACCCCUACUUAUUUUCAGAAAAUAAUUUUUAGAUUUUAAAAACAAAAAACAGAAUAAUGUUGUUUGCACCUAACCUAGUAUAAAUAUAAAUGUAUUUAUAAUCAAAGUUGUACUACUUAACAAGUUAGAAAAUUUUACAUCUCCACCUCCAUCUUUGGAAGGGAGCAACUCUCCUGUUGGUUGUUAUUCUGUUCGGAAUCCAUAGUGUACGAUGGUUCACUACAUAUAAUAAUAACUAAAAAUGUUAUGUGAGAAAAAAAAAAUUAGAGAACAACUUGUUAUCCUCAUUUCCUGACGUGGGCCCGGGACGGCGGUUUAGGCCCAUGGACUGGGCAUUCGAAUGUGGGCCCGACUCAAGCCCGCUUGGUACAGGAAUAUCCAAGGGCACGACCCUAGUGCACUUCGGGGCCCGGACAGUGUUCGGGAUGGUGAUCCAAGACAGUUGUCCGGGAGACGUACAGAGCUCGGAAUCCCGUUGAAGUAUACGUAAAACGGUCCCGGAGCCUGUGGUAAACGAAGAGGGACAAAGGUAAACGAACCCAGAUUAGGUCGUCUCCGGUUGGUAAAGAAAAGCGUCCGUGACCCUGAAACCGCCCCACUCCGCGUGGGGGUUGUCCCCACUUUUCACCUACAGAAAAGGUCACCUCGGGAUUGCACGCCGCUGUUUCAGAUCUGCGCUGCCAAGUACUCUAAUUGGUCUUGUCCCCUGAAUCUGCCUCCUAACUCGAAGUGCCCAGACCAAAAGCAUCGUUUUGUCGGGCGAAAUAUAGUUCUUGGGCCACCCUAUUGGGCCUUAAUUAGUCAUGAAUCUAUGUAUGUGUUUAUCUUUUAUAUUUGGCUUCCACCAAAGAAGCCAAGAGGAUUCAUAUCUCUGAUGGGCCCGGGUCAUACCCAGCCCAGACCCAGUGUACCUAAAAGCCUAUAAAUACAGGCGAUAGAACAUUGGGAAAAGUAUCUCUCUUCGACUGAUAUACAGUUACUCUGCCAAAAAAUAGAGAUAAACUCCAUUGUAAAAGACUUUCCAAGCUCUAAUACAACUGACUCGUGGACUAAGGCUCAUUAACGCCCCAACUACGUAAAAAU
This is a long non-coding RNA of Humulus lupulus (European hop), 1429 nucleotides long. RefSeq lists it as uncharacterized. The transcript has 2 exons. The record is from RefSeq and is a predicted model, not a curated record. Lineage: Eukaryota; Viridiplantae; Streptophyta; Magnoliopsida; Rosales; Cannabaceae.